UGGGGAAUUUUGCGCAAUGGGCUAACGCCUGACGCAGCAACGCCGCGUGGAGGAUGAAGGUCUUUGGAUUGUAAACUCCUGUCAGCAGGGAAAAAGCGACCUGACCUCAUACGUCAGGGAGUUGAUUGUACCUGCAGAGGAAGCCCCGGCUAACUCUGUGCCAGCAGCCGCGGUAAUACAGAGGGGGCAAGCGUUAUUCGGAAUUAUUGGGCGUAAAGGGCGCGUAGGCGGCCAGUCAAGUGGAAGGUGAAAUCCCUCGGCUUAACCGAGGAACUGCCUUCCAGACUGUUUGGCUUGAGACCAGGAGAGGUGAGUGGAAUUCCCAGUGUAGCGGUGAAAUGCGUAGAUAUUGGGAGGAACACCAGUGGCGAAGGCGGCUCACUGGACUGGUACUGACGCUGAGGCGCGAAAGCGUGGGGAGCAAACGGGAUUAGAUACCCCGGUAGUCCACGCCGUAACGAUGAGUGCUUGGUGUAGCGGGUAUCGA
RNAcentral lists this ribosomal RNA (487 nucleotides) under uncultured Acidobacteriota bacterium. RNAcentral describes it as "bacterial SSU rRNA". It matches the Rfam family "Bacterial small subunit ribosomal RNA", at positions 355 to 835 of the family's 1533-position model. Lineage: Bacteria; Pseudomonadati; Acidobacteriota. The record is from RNAcentral.